RNAcentral lists this transfer RNA (66 nucleotides) under Opecarcinus hypostegus. Its description in RNAcentral is "tRNA-Ile". The record is from RNAcentral. Lineage: Eukaryota; Metazoa; Arthropoda; Malacostraca; Decapoda; Cryptochiridae.
AAUAUAGUGCCUGAGUAAAAGGAUAGCUUUGAUAGAGCUAAUAAUGUGCUUGUGGCACCUAUAUUA